This 126-nucleotide non-coding RNA is filed under the name Acinetobacter equi. Its description in RNAcentral is "TPP sequence". It matches the Rfam family "TPP riboswitch aptamer (THI element)". Rfam says of the family: Vitamin B(1) in its active form thiamin pyrophosphate (TPP) is an essential coenzyme that is synthesised by coupling of pyrimidine and thiazole moieties in bacteria. Lineage: Bacteria; Pseudomonadati; Pseudomonadota; Gammaproteobacteria; Moraxellales; Moraxellaceae. The record is from RNAcentral.
CAUCGCUUGACGGAGCGCGAGUAAUCACUCGCUGAGAUUAUCCAAAAGUAAUGAAUACUUUUGAGGAUGAGUACCGUUGAACCUGAUCAGGUUAAAACCUGCGUAGGAAUCAAGCCAUCUAAAAAC